This 390-nucleotide ribosomal RNA is filed under the name uncultured bacterium. RNAcentral's name for it is "bacterial SSU rRNA". It matches the Rfam family "Bacterial small subunit ribosomal RNA", at positions 28 to 417 of the family's 1533-position model. The record is from RNAcentral.
GACGAACGCUGGCGGCGUGCUUAACACAUGCAAGUCGAGCGGUAAGGCCCUUUCGGGGGUACACGAGCGGCGAACGGGUGAGUAACACGUGGGUGACCUGCCCUCAGCUCUGGGAUAAGCCUGGGAAACUGGGUCUAAUACUGGAUAUGACUCCACGGUGCAUGUCGUGGGGUGGAAAGCCUUGUGCGGCUGAGGAUGGGGCCCGCGGCCUAUCAGCUUGGUUGGGGGGUGAUGGCCUACCAAGGCGACGACGGGGUAGCCGGCCUGAGAGGGCGACCGGCCACACUGGGACUGAGACACGGCCCAGACUCCUACGGGAGGCAGCAGUGGGGAAUCUUGCGCAAUGGGCGAAAGCCUGACGCAGCGACGCCGCGUGAGGGAUGACGGCCU